RNAcentral lists this ribosomal RNA (434 nucleotides) under uncultured bacterium. Its description in RNAcentral is "partial 16S ribosomal RNA". It matches the Rfam family "Bacterial small subunit ribosomal RNA", at positions 29 to 507 of the family's 1533-position model. The record is from RNAcentral.
AACGAACGCUGGCGGCAUGCCUAACACAUGCAAGUCGAACGAGAUCUUCGGGUCUAGUGGCGCACGGGUGCGUAACGCGUGGGAAUCUGCCCUCAGGUUCGGAAUAACCAUUGGAAACGAUGGCUAAUACCGGAUGAUGACGUUAAGUCCAAAGAUUUAUCGCCUGAGGAUGAGCCCGCGUAGGAUUAGCUAGUUGGUGUGGUAAAGGCGCACCAAGGCGACGAUCCUUAGCUGGUCUGAGAGGAUGAUCGGCCACACUGGGACUGAGACACGGCCCAGACUCCUACGGGAGGCAGCAGUGGGGAAUAUUGGACAAUGGGCGAAAGCCUGAUCCAGCAAUGCCGCGUGAGUGAUGAAGGCCUUAGGGUUGUAAAGCUCUUUUACCCGGGAUGAUAAUGACAGUACCGGGAGAAUAAGCGCCGGCUAACUCCGUG